AGUGAACGCUGGCGGUAGGCCUAACACAUGCAAGUCGAACGGCAGCACAGUAAGAGCUUGCUCUUACGGGUGGCGAGUGGCGGACGGGUGAGGAAUACAUCGGAAUCUACUUUUUCGUGGGGGAUAACGUAGGGAAACUUACGCUAAUACCGCAUACGACCUACGGGUGAAAGCAGGGGAUCUUCGGACCUUGCGCGAUUGAAUGAGCCGAUGUCGGAUUAGCUAGUUGGCGGGGUAAAGGCCCACCAAGGCGACGAUCCGUAGCUGGUCUGAGAGGAUGAUCAGCCACACUGGAACUGAGACACGGUCCAGACUCCUACGGGAGGCAGCAGUGGGGAAUAUUGGACAAUGGGCGCAAGCCUGAUCCAGCCAUGCCGCGUGGGUGAAGAAGGCCUUCGGGUUGUAAAGCCCUUUUGUUGGGAAAGAAAAGCAGCAGGUUAAUACCCCGCUGUUCGGACGGUACCCAAAGAAUAAGCACCGGCGAACUUCGU
RNAcentral lists this ribosomal RNA (491 nucleotides) under uncultured bacterium. RNAcentral's name for it is "partial 16S ribosomal RNA". It matches the Rfam family "Bacterial small subunit ribosomal RNA", at positions 29 to 506 of the family's 1533-position model. The record is from RNAcentral.